This 274-nucleotide ribosomal RNA is filed under the name uncultured bacterium. Its description in RNAcentral is "partial 16S ribosomal RNA". It matches the Rfam family "Bacterial small subunit ribosomal RNA", at positions 79 to 354 of the family's 1533-position model. The record is from RNAcentral.
CUUUCUCCGCCGGCGACCGGCGCACGGGUGAGUAACACGUAUGCAACCUGCCCCUGUCAGGGGGACAACCCGCCGAAAGGCGGGCUAAACCCGCGUACAUGCCACCGGGGCAUCCCGGAGGCAGGAAAGGCUUCGGCCGGACAGGGAUGGGCAUGCGGCGCAUAGCAGUAGGCGGGGUAACGGCCCACCUAACCGACGAUGCGUAGGGGUUCUGAGAGGAAGGUCCCCCACACUGGUACUGAGACACGGACCAGACUCCUACGGAAGGCAGCAG